AGAAUGGACCAAUGAAGUACUGGAUUUCAACUUUACCCGCUAGCUUGGGUCCUAGAAAUUUAUUAUAGCAUUCACCCAAUACAUGUAAAAGACCAAAGCAACUGUAAAUUCUCUGGAAAAGGUAGUCCAUGCUCAGAGCACAAAUCACACUGCUAGAAGGUCAAAUGCAUCAAACUACCCCCACCAAAUAAUAUAUCACUUACUUUCUCCUAUAAUA
RNAcentral lists this unclassified non-coding RNA (217 nucleotides) under Hevea brasiliensis (rubber tree). The record is from RNAcentral. Lineage: Eukaryota; Viridiplantae; Streptophyta; Magnoliopsida; Malpighiales; Euphorbiaceae.